RNAcentral lists this ribosomal RNA (450 nucleotides) under uncultured Glomeromycotina. RNAcentral's name for it is "SSU rRNA". It matches the Rfam family "Eukaryotic small subunit ribosomal RNA", at positions 569 to 1024 of the family's 1831-position model. The record is from RNAcentral. Lineage: Eukaryota; Fungi; Glomeromycota.
AGCAGCCGCGGUAAUUCCAGCUCCAAUAGCGUAUAUUAAAGUUGCUGCAGUUAAAAAGCUCGUAGUUGAAUUUCGGGACUAAUAUAUCGGUCGUGCCUCGGUACGUACUGGUAUUUUUGGUUUCUCCCUUCUGACGAACCUUGAUGUCAUUAAUUUGGUGUCUUGGGAAAUCAGGACUGUUACUUUGAAAAAAUUAGAGUGUUUAAAGCAGGCUCACGCUUGAAUACAUUAGCAUGGAAUAAUGAAAUAGGACGUUUGAUUCUAUUUUGUUGGUUUCUAGGAUCGACGUAAUGAUUAAUAGGGAUAGUUGGGGGCAUUAGUAUUCAAUUGUCAGAGGUGAAAUUCUUGGAUUUAUUGAAGACUAACUACUGCGAAAGCAUUUGCCAAGGAUGUUUUCAUUAAUCAAGAACGAAAGUUAGGGGAUCGAAGACGAUCAGAUACCGUCGUAGU